UAGGGAAUAUUGGUCAAUGGGUGAGAGCCUGAACCAGCCAUGCCGCGUGCAGGAAGACGGCCUUCUGGGUUGUAAACUGCUUUUGUCAGGGGAUAAAAUUUCCUUGCGAGGAACAUUGAAGGUACCUGGCGAAUAAGCCACGGCUAACUACGUGCCAGCAGCCGCGGUAAUACGUAGGUGGCAAGCGUUGUCCGGAUUUAUUGGGUUUAAAGGGUGCGUAGGCGGCCUAUUAAGUCAGUGCUGAAAUAUCCCGGCUUAACCGGGAGGGUGGCAUUGAUACUGAUGGGCUAGAGUACAGAUGAGGUAGGCGGAAUUGACGGUGUAGCGGUGAAAUGCUUAGAUAUCGUCAAGAACACCUAUAGCGAAGGCAGCUUACUAGGCUGUAACUGACGCUGAGGCACGAAAGUGUGGGGAUCAAACAGGAUUAGAUACCCUGGUAGUCCACACUGUAAACGUUGAUUACUCGCUGUGUGCGAUAUACAGUACGCGGCCAAGCGAAAGCGCUAAGUAAUCCACCU
RNAcentral lists this ribosomal RNA (518 nucleotides) under uncultured bacterium. Its description in RNAcentral is "bacterial SSU rRNA". It matches the Rfam family "Bacterial small subunit ribosomal RNA", at positions 355 to 874 of the family's 1533-position model. The record is from RNAcentral.